AGUGAACGCUGGCGGUAGGCCUAACACAUGCAAGUCGAACGGCAGCACAGUAAGAGCUUGCUCUUACGGGUGGCGAGUGGCGGACGGGUGAGGAAUACAUCGGAAUCUACUUUUUCGUGGGGGAUAACGUAGGGAAACUUACGCUAAUACCGCAUACGACCUACGGGUGAAAGCAGGGGAUCUUCGGACCUUGCGCGAUUGAAUGAGCCGAUGUCGGAUUAGCUAGAUGGCGGGGUAAAGGCCCACCAAGGCGACGAUCCGUAGCGGGUCUGAGAGGAUGAUCGGCCACACUGGAACUGAGACACGGUCCAGACUCCGACGGGAGGGAGCAGUGGGGAAUGUUGGACAAUGGGCGCAAGCCUGAUCCAGCCAUACCGAGUGGGUGAAGAAGGCCUUCGGGUUGGAAAGCCCUUUUGUUGGGAAAGAAAAGCAGGAGGUUAAUACCCAGCUGUUCUGACGGUACCCAAAGAAUAAGCACCGGCUAACUUCGUG
RNAcentral lists this ribosomal RNA (492 nucleotides) under uncultured bacterium. RNAcentral describes it as "partial 16S ribosomal RNA". It matches the Rfam family "Bacterial small subunit ribosomal RNA", at positions 29 to 507 of the family's 1533-position model. The record is from RNAcentral.